UCUUUGAACGCACAUUGCGCCCCCUGGUAUUCCGGGGGGCAUGCCUGUUCGAGCGUCAUUUCACCACUCAAGCCUCGCUUGGUAUUGGGCGACGCGGUCCGCCGCGCGCCUCAAAUCGACCGGCUGGGUCUUCUGUCCCCUCAGCGUUGUGGAAACUAUUCGCUAAAGGGUGCCACGGGAGGUCACGCCGUAAAACAAGCCCAUUUCUAAGGUUGACCUCGGAUCAGGUAGGGAUACCCGCUGAACUUAAGCAUAUCAAUAAGCGGAGGAAAAGAAACCAACAGGGAUUGCUCUAGUAACGGCGAGUGAAGCAGCAAUAGCUCAAAUUUGAAAUCUGGCGUCUUCGGCGUCCGAGUUGUAAUUUGUAGAGGAUGCUUCUGGGCAGCCACCGACCUAAGUUCCUUGGAACAGGACGUCAUAGAGGGUGAGAAUCCCGUAUGCGGUCGGAAAGGCACCCUACACGUAGCUCCUUCGACGAGUCGAGUUGUUUGGGAAUGCAGCUCUAAAUGGGAGGUAAAUUUCUUCUAAAGCUAAAUAUUGGCCAGAGACCGAUAGCGCACAAGUAGAGUG
RNAcentral lists this ribosomal RNA (570 nucleotides) under Capnodiales sp. PSU-ES15. RNAcentral describes it as "eukaryotic LSU rRNA". The stretch from base 214 to 570 matches the Rfam family "Eukaryotic large subunit ribosomal RNA", at positions 1 to 355 of the family's 3401-position model. Lineage: Eukaryota; Fungi; Ascomycota; Dothideomycetes; Capnodiales. The record is from RNAcentral.